GUUCUGGUAGCUUAAAC
Molecule: transfer RNA, 17 nt
Filed under: Gongylosoma scriptum (Common ringneck)
Lineage: Eukaryota; Metazoa; Chordata; Lepidosauria; Squamata; Colubridae
Description: partial tRNA-Thr
Source: RNAcentral